RNAcentral lists this non-coding RNA (21 nucleotides) under Caenorhabditis elegans. Lineage: Eukaryota; Metazoa; Nematoda; Chromadorea; Rhabditida; Rhabditidae. The record is from RNAcentral.
UACGGAAUCCUCUUAAUUCAU